This 356-nucleotide ribosomal RNA is filed under the name uncultured bacterium. RNAcentral describes it as "bacterial SSU rRNA". It matches the Rfam family "Bacterial small subunit ribosomal RNA", at positions 1 to 334 of the family's 1533-position model. The record is from RNAcentral.
GCGUCGUCUUCAGAGUUUGAUCCUGGCUCAGGAUGAACGCUGGCGGCGUGCUUAACACAUGCAAGUCGAACGGAGCGGCCUUGAUAGAGGAUUCGUCCAAUUGAUAAGCUUGCUUAGUGGCGGACGGGUGAGUAACGCGUGAGGAACCUGCCUCGGAGUGGGGAAUAACAGUUAGAAAUGACUGCUAAUACCGCAUAAUGCAUUUAGGUCGCAUGAUCUUGAAUGCCAAAGAUUUAUCGCUCUGAGAUGGCCUCGCGUCUGAUUAGCUAGUUGGUAGGGUAACGGCCUACCAAGGCGACGAUCAGUAGCCGGACUGAGAGGUUGACCGGCCACAUUGGGACUGAGACACGGCCCAG